GAUGAACGCUGGCGGCGUGCUUAACACAUGCAAGUCGAACGGGAAUUAUUUUAUUGAAACUUCGGUCGAUUUAAUUUACUUCUAGUGGCGGACGGGUGAGUAACGCGUGGGUAACCUGCCUUAUACAGGGGGAUAACAGUCAGAAAUGGCUGCUAAUACCGCAUAAGCGCACAGAGCUGCAUGGCUCAGUGUGAAAAACUCCGGUGGUAUAAGAUGGACCCGCGUUGGAUUAGCUUGUUGGCAGGGUAACGGCCUACCAAGGCGACGAUCCAUAGCCGGCCUGAGAGGGUGAACGGCCACAUUGGGACUGAGACACGGCCCAGACUCCUACGGGAGGCAGCAGUGGGGAAUAUUGCACAAUGGGGGAAACCCUGAUGCAGCGACGCCGCGUGAAGGAAGAAGUAUCUCGGUAUGUAAACUUCUAUCAGCAGGGAAGAUAGUGACGGUACCUGACUAAGAAGCCCCGGCUAACUACGUG
RNAcentral lists this ribosomal RNA (478 nucleotides) under uncultured bacterium. RNAcentral's name for it is "partial 16S ribosomal RNA". It matches the Rfam family "Bacterial small subunit ribosomal RNA", at positions 28 to 507 of the family's 1533-position model. The record is from RNAcentral.